UACAGGGGGUGCAAACGUUGCUCGGAAUCAUUGGGCGUAAAGCGCACGUAGGCGGUUCGUUAUGUCGGAUGUGAAAGCCCUUGGCUUAACCGAGGAAGUGCAUCCGAAACUGGCGAGCUAGAGUACGAAAGAGGAUCGCGGAAUUCCCGGUGUAGAGGUGAAAUUCGUAGAUAUCGGGAGGAACACCCGUGGCGAAGGCGGCUCUCUGGGACGGUACUGACGCUGAGACGCGAAAGCGUGGGGAGCGAACAGG
This 253-nucleotide ribosomal RNA is filed under the name uncultured bacterium. RNAcentral describes it as "partial 16S ribosomal RNA". It matches the Rfam family "Bacterial small subunit ribosomal RNA", at positions 524 to 776 of the family's 1533-position model. The record is from RNAcentral.